This 1194-nucleotide long non-coding RNA is filed under the name Homo sapiens (human). Its description in RNAcentral is "HSALNT0186033". Lineage: Eukaryota; Metazoa; Chordata; Mammalia; Primates; Hominidae. The record is from RNAcentral.
CAGCUAUAUUUUCAUCUUAUGGAAAAAUCCAAGGCUAAUGGUAAAAUAACUUCCCCACGGUCACACUGGUCACUGCUGUUUCAUUGCCAAGAUGAACUAGGAGGAUGAAGGUCAGUCUUUUCCUCCUGAUGAAGGAAUUCAUGAACUGCAUGCUACCCUUACUGUUAUGACUUCUAAAACUGCUGCAACCAUUUGAUUGGAAAAGUAUUUUACAAUAAAUGCUGCGUUCCAUGUGCUAAGUACUGAAGUUAUUACCAUGACAACAAGACCACCUUCUUGCCUACAGUUCGGAGAUUAAUAAAGGGCUCCUGAGAUAACCACAAGGCACAUGAAAUAACCCAGGAACUAUAAAUUGCAAAAGUGUCUAUGCUGCAUUGUAACUUUUGGAAAAACAUGCACACACCUGGUGCCACCUGGGUAGGUGUGACCAGAACCUGCCUGUUGGAAAAUAAAGGAUUAAAAAAAUGAAAUGAGAGAAAGUGACACAUAAAAGGACAACUUAAGGUUUCCGCAAAGCAAAUACAUAACCAAGCUGAUCAACCCUCCAGCAUAGUCCUUCUGAGCUGUGUUUCCACAGGAAAAUGAGGGUAGAGGCAAUCACAAAAGUCUUGGCUCUCAUCCACCCCUGUGGCCUGCUGACACAGGCCCAGCUUGCCAGAGCACUGGGGUCACAAUGAAGUUGCUGCCAGUAGAGCUGCUUUCAUUAAAAUUGAGUAAGAAGAACAGGUAAUGGGGUUGGGCAGAAACUAGGACCUGAAAGUGGUUGGGAUUGGGGGACUCCUGUCUUCUAAUUGGGAAGGCUGGGUAGGGCUUCUUGGUAGUACCUGACAAUUAUCUUGUUCUAGCAUUUACAGCCUUUCUCUACUCCUGGAGUCACUGCAGGGCCCCCAGGGGACUCUGAAAACAGCCAGUUGUUAAGCAAGGGUAUUCUCCACUAGGGCUACCAUGAAGUUUAUAUUAUAGAGCUGGAUCUUUCACCCCUUUUGUGCUGUAAACCAUUUGUGCACAGCCUUUGAACUAUUUCUCAUAAUAAUACUUUUUAAAUAUAUAUAAAAUAUAUGUCAUUACAAAUAAAAUCAACUAUGAUGAAAUAUGGCACAUGUAUACAUAUGUAACUAACCUGCACAAAGUGCACAUGUACCCUAAAACUUAAAGUAUAAUAAAAAAAUAUAUAUAUAUAUUUAUAAAUAUUGA